UCAGAAUCUUUCAGCCCCAGCGCAAACCUACUCAAUCGGAAGCAGUGUUUAACCAGAUGCCCAGGUGGUGAGUGCAUUUUAAAAUCUGAGAAGCCCUGGUCUGUUCCUUUCUCCUCCCCACCCUACCUUCCAGCUAUACCCAAUUACACCUUGAUGGCCCAUCCCCGGAAGCAGCUUCUGGCUCCUCCUGAACUAUUUACCGAAAGGCUUAUCUUCCCGUGCUCCUUCCCGCCAGAUUUCAUUCUGUUUAUAAAUAUGGAAGCUGAAAUGUAAACCACAUUGAAAUCCUUCUCCCAAAGGCCGGCCGUCCCGGUUAUUUUAGACCUUGUAGAUGUGCCCUGAAAUGCCUCAUCUCAGGGAGGGUGAGAAGAGCCUCUCUUGAGCAAGUGUGGUGUCUGCUUCUAGUGCUGUUUAUGGCAAAACUGGAAACUGUCUUCGAAAUUAACAAUAGAUGUGCAUAAAUCUUCUUCAGUUACCUAGCAACUAAUACAAGACAACGCAGAGGUUCACAGGCUGGGUGGAGCAACCCUUUUUUGGAGGAUACAGGCAGAAGAAAAGGGUGAUUUUGCUGGAAAAUGAAGAGUACCUGGUGCAAGACCAGAGAUCAGCGAACGAAGCCCACAGGCCAAAUUUGACCACGCCUUUUUGUACACAGUUUUGCCAACACGGAGUCACUCAUUUCUCUAUGAUCCUUGUUGCACUCCUGUUGGCAGAGUUGAGUCAUUGUGAUAAAGACUGCAUGACCCUCACAACCUGUAAUAUUUACCAUUUGGCUCUUCACAGAAAAAGUCCACCAACCUUGGUUUAGAGCAUUAAAACACAGUAACUUUUCCACAUGGCCUGCCACGGGGGAGAUCAAUGUCAUAAGGCUUUCUUUACGAAGUGGUUAACUGUAGUCAAAGAUUUUUUGUGCCUAAGAGUCAACCCUCAUCAACACCUUAAUUACCGUUCUGUUUUGUUUUCACCACGAAUUUACAUCUGCCACAAUCAAGAGGAAGGCAGUCUUUCUUAGAAGCUUGGCUCAUCCUUCUAGAAUUACAAGGAAUAGAAUACUGCGCAUCUGAUAAGGCCUUUGGGACAAGGCUGCCGAGGGCUCACCCAUAUCUGUGCUUGAUUCUAGGCAUAAGGCUAGAAGGCAUGUCCCAGUUUCCUUGCAGUAAGAGGGGACCAAAUCUUGAAUUUUUGCUGACGGAUUUAAGUGAAAAUUUGUCAGCAUCCCCACACCCUAGUUAAUCACUCCUCAUUAAUCCUGCAUAUACUCUCCUCUUCCUUGCCUGGAGGAUACAAACAACCCAGUGGGGGGCUCUGAAGUUUAGAGCAAGCUGUCCAAAAGAACUUUCUGGAACAGUGGGAAACUUCUAUUCGGCUCUGUUCAGUAGCGUAGCAUCUAGCCGCAUGUGGCAAUUAUGCACUGGAAAUGUGGCUAGCGCAACUGAGGAGGUGAGUUUUUACUUUUGAUGAGUUUAAAUGGUGGGUAAAACUAGUUAGUGCCCCCAUUGGACACUGCAGUUCUCCAAGAUCGGAGAUCCGAAGCCUGAGGUCUGGGUGGAGCAGAGCACCUUCUUCCUUCCCCUUUCUCCACCCCUUCCCCUUCCAUCUCCUGUUCCACUUGCAUUGGAUUGGGAUGUGAGCAAGAAAUAACAGCUCUUUGGAUAGAGAAUUGCUUUUUGGCGAGGCAGCCCUGACUAAUACAGACACACGUCCUGGAAACCACUUUUAUGAAGAGAGGACGAUUCAGCCCGCUACUCAUCCGUUUUACAAGCUCAAGGAAGGCCUCUACCGCGAUCGAGUUUUUAACCUCGUCUGUGGUGUUAAUUAUCCUGUUCAAAAGAUGAAAAAAGUGGCUUCGUGGGCCAGAGAGCAAGUGGCUUCCUUAGUGGUUUGGCCAUACCGAUCCCAGCGAUAAGCUAGAGAAAGAGCCAUCUGGUUUGGUGAUUUUUGGCUUCGAAGAGGAGAACAUAAACGAAAAGUGUAAGUUUUAAUACUCAGGAGAUCGGAUUCUGUGCUAAAGAGGAAAUGACUCCACGCCCACGAGGAUUCGGCCAAGAAAGGGGCCAGACUGUGCUGUGGGGGGAGAGGCGGGGAGGUAGUUCUCAACGGGGCUGUGCACGUCACUCACCGUUCCUUUCAUUCAUUGCUAAUAAUGGACUGGAGCAGGACAACUGGUCUCUCUUUCUUUGGUAUCAUCAGGGAGAGGGUUUUGCCAAUUUCAGUCCAAAGCUGGAAGGGCUAGGAUGACACACGCUGUCUCACCUCCUUUGUGUGGCCCACUAGUUUCCAGGCAAAGCAUCAUCACAACACCUCUUUCUUUGUAAAGAGGACCCACCUGGUAAUCAAACAGACCUCUACCCAAAAUUUCAAGUCUAUCACGUACUUGGACAGGUCACUUCACUUCUCCGAGCCUUGUUUUCUUGGUCUUUAGGGAUAAUAACACAUCCACCUCACAGAGCUAUUCUAGCAAGAAUAAAAUGAGCUUUGCCUACGAAAGCAGUUAGGACAGGGCUUCAUACAGAGUCAGACCUCUGGGGACACUGAGGGUUUGGAACAUGUAAUUCCAAGCCUGGCCCCUCAAGGAGGGGCAUCAAGGCGGUCCCGCCGUGAGCAUGUCGGUGUACGUGCUUAUCACUACAGUGCUUCUCAAACUCCAACAUGCAUUCAGAUUGGCUGCGGAUUGUGUUUAAAUGCAGAUUCUGAGUGAGUAGGAGCAUGUAAUUUAAAUGAGUUUCCAGGUAAUUUCAAAGCUGCUGGUCACUGGUACCACCUUUGAAGAACGGGAAGUUCGAGUCUUGUCCCGCUCUGUGUUUCCCACUCCUGGCACCUCCGUAGGUGAGCUGAUCUGCCUACUUUGAGUAGGUGGGGGAAGUCAUAAAAUGAAGGUAGUGGAGAGUUAGCGGCCGGAAGGAGAACCUAGGCAGAUGAGUACAGACAUCGCGGAAAAAGAGAUGGGUUAGAGGUUUCCAACCCUGACUAGACUUGAAGCUCACCUGGAGAGCUUUAAAAACUCUCCGUUGUCAAGUCUCACCCCAGGAAUACAGAUUUAAUUGAUUGGGAUGGGGCCAGACGUGACAUAUUAAAGGAAAUAACUCCCCAGGUUAUUCUCAUACGCAGUCAGGGUUGAGAACUGCUGGGCUAGACAAAAGAGGCCACUUUCCCAGCUGGAAAGAAUCUGGAAGGGGUCUUAUCAAGAUAUUAAAUCAGGGUUGAUUUUGAGGGGCUGCUAGUUGGAAAAAAAAAAAAAGCAUCAUGGAAAUUUAAGUAAGAGAAGCCAUUUGGUUGAAACCUUGAAAACUCAGAUCCAUUUGAUGAAGCUGUUAAUGAAAACACUAAAUCUGCCUUGCCUAAAAUGGUAUCUUUGCUCUGGGCCUCUGAAGCAAUUUGUCUGUUGAGAAGCCAAGGGUAAAUGGGAAACGUGAAAUCCAUGCCAUUUUUUGGAAUCCGAGGCUCUUUUUCUUUCAUUAACGUUGUGGAUUUGAUUGUCCUCUGUGCUCACAGAGGCUAUUGAAGGAUUCUUACUGGAGCACAGAAGCCAGCUUUGGCUGGUAGCAUUAACUAGGUCUUGGUCCAGUAGGCCUCUAUGGGUGGGGAGGGGGUAAGGGGCGGAAGAAAUGAGCCCAGCACCGAUAGUCCAACAAAUUCAGACCGAUGAGCAUAGUUUUGCUGUGAUCGAGUGUAUACUUCUGAAGCCCAGGUGUAGACUGCCUCUUUGUCACCAGAAGCCAGCUCAGAAUUGGCCCUUUGCCAGCUCUGACACAAAGCUCAGCCCCAUUCCAGAAUCCAGGCGUGCCAAGCGUCUGCAAAUAUUGUGGUUUCACCUAAGAUUCCUAUGUCUUGGGUUGGGGGCACAUCAGCCACUGAACAACACCUUGGGCAAUCCCCGUUAGAAAUCCUCUCCCCCAGAAUGCCUGUGCAGGCAGCCAAUCAGGAGAUUCUCCCCCAUGACCAUGCCCCAUACCCUUUGUUAAGUCCUUUGGAGCAGAGUUUGGCUCUGUCCUAGCUGCUCCACACGAGGCUGCCCUUACUCAGGCAUAGAUAGCAAACACAAGUCUUUCUAGAAGGCUCCCCCCCCCCUUCCUUAGGUAAACACGUUUCCCCUGUUAUCUCAGAGUAGAGUCUUCCCGUGAAACCUUUCGUAAGCCAAGAGGGUGGGAAGCAAGGAAGCAAUCACCGUUUCAUAAAUGCAAACCUCGUCUUCAGAUUUCUUGCGCUUAGUGCAAACGGGUACUAGUGCAGGUCUUUUGUAAUAGUAAAGGGACAUAAAGGGAGUUUUUUGGAAAGCGGGGGAGCCCUGUAUAUUCGAAACUGUUACCUGGAUGUUGA
Molecule: long non-coding RNA, 4317 nt
Organism: Felis catus (domestic cat)
Lineage: Eukaryota; Metazoa; Chordata; Mammalia; Carnivora; Felidae
Exons: 4
Source: RefSeq, a predicted model, not a curated record